This 468-nucleotide ribosomal RNA is filed under the name uncultured bacterium. Its description in RNAcentral is "partial 16S ribosomal RNA". It matches the Rfam family "Bacterial small subunit ribosomal RNA", at positions 28 to 507 of the family's 1533-position model. The record is from RNAcentral.
GACGAACGCUGGCGGCGUGCUUAACACAUGCAAGUCGAACGGAAAGGCCCUGCUUUUGUGGGGUGCUCGAGUGGCGAACGGGUGAGUAACACGUGAGUAACCUGCCCUUGACUUUGGGAUAUCUUCAGGAAACUGGGGCUAAUACCGGAUAGGAGCUCCUGCUGCAUGGUGGGGGUUGGAAAGUUUCGGCGGUUGGGGAUGGACUCGCGGCUUAUCAGCUUGUUGGUGGGGUAGUGGCUUACCAAGGCUUUGACGGGUAGCCGGCCUGAGAGGGUGACCGGCCACAUUGGGACUGAGAUACGGCCCAGACUCCUACGGGAGGCAGCAGUGGGGAAUAUUGCACAAUGGGCGGAAGCCUGACGCAGCAACGCCGCGUGCGGGAUGACGGCCUUCGGGUUGUAAACCGCUUUCGCCUGUGACGAAGCGUGAGUGACGGUAAUGGGUAAAGAAGCACCGGCUAACUACGUG